This 443-nucleotide small RNA is filed under the name Histoplasma capsulatum. RNAcentral describes it as "hypothetical RNA". RNAcentral also lists the same sequence under 1 other name. The record is from RNAcentral. Lineage: Eukaryota; Fungi; Ascomycota; Eurotiomycetes; Onygenales; Ajellomycetaceae.
UUGAAACUGAAGCUAAUCAUCCUCAUUGCUUUCAAUCAAAUAGAACACUGGUGAUCAACAAAAUAUACAAAACUCUUUAUUUUGAUGGAAAAGGAUAUUUUCAUCCACCUCUAUGCGUGGAAAAGCCGCAUACCCAUGAAACCUGUUAUAUGAUGCUCUAUCAAGGGUCCCGCGAAAUAAGAACCCCAAUUCCAUGAGUUAUAUAUACUCUUCGGACAUUUCUCUUAAGAGCUCUGAUAAACUGCAGAUUGUUCACCAUAUUCUGAUGGAACAUGUGCCAGAGUGGACCAUACAACAAGUCAAUUCAGAAGGUUUUUCUCACAACUCGUGGCUCACACCAAGAGAUCGUGGAAUGAAUGAUCGUCUUUGAAAGCCACAUGUAUAAAAAAAGAUAUUUUGCUGCUAGAUUUAUAUUCUAGAAAUAUCAUCAUGACGAAGCAGCC